Molecule: non-coding RNA, 989 nt
Organism: Triticum urartu
Lineage: Eukaryota; Viridiplantae; Streptophyta; Magnoliopsida; Poales; Poaceae
Source: RefSeq, a predicted model, not a curated record
CUGGCCCACUCUCUCCCCCUCCCCUCGACCCCCCAUAUCCCACCUCCUCCUCGCUCUCUCUCGAUCCCCUGCAGUUCCAGCCGCCGCUCGCCUCCAUCCUCUCCCCAACCCCGGUCGGCCUCCACUCCACUCCACCGCAGGCGCCAACCCAACCACCGCUGCCCUCUUUGCCUCCUCUCCUAACACCCAAGAACAAGAGAGGGGGAGAGAGCCGAUAGCCAGAUCCACUCACCAAGUCCCUCUCCGUCGCCGCCAUCUAGAUCUAGGCCGGACGAUUCCGGCGGCACGCAGCACACUCAUGUGCUCACCUCGCGCCUCGCUCGAUCCCGUAGUCCUCCUCCGUCUCCUCACCUAAUGACUAAUCUCCACCUCGGUUGGAUCUCGGUCGCGUGGUUGGUGCAGGAUCCGCGUCGGCUGGUGGCGACGGAAACACGUGGCGCACCGGGUGGACAACGACUCCGGCGUCCGGUGUCGGCAAGUCCAACGUCCUCUCCAGCUUCACCUGCAACGCAUUCUACCUCGAGUCCAAGUCCACCAUCGGUGUCGAGUUUGCCAGCUGGACCCUCCUCGUGAGUACUCACCACCAUUGACAGGCCGGCAUCCAGGUCGAGCACAGCAUCCAGGCUCGUCCAUGGACUAGAUUUUCAAGUAUAGCCCCAUCCAUUGCGUCGACCUGGAGUCAGGUGAAUGGAGCUUGUGUUGUUGGUAGAACUUCGUUGAUGACUUCUUCCUAUGUUGAAGAGCAUGUUCCGUGGUAUCCAAGAGUAGAUAGAUUUACACUGGUAGAGCAUUUUAUUUAUCGAUCAUAAUGUUUGUGAUUGUGUGGAAUAUUGUAUGGUUAUCUACGUGAAGUUUGAAGUUCCUAGGCAUGCAAUAUUUGAUGGUUAAACUGGUUGUUGUGAUGUGAACCAGUGUAUGGAGUCUCACAUGUUUUGUCUGUACAGAAUAUAUUGUAAUAAACCUAUUUUGGUUGUUAUUUGAAGAUUUUC